CUCCUACGGGAGGCAGCAGUGGGGAAUUUUCCGCAAUGGGCGAAAGCCUGACGGAGCAACGCCGCGUGAGGGACGAAGGCCUUUGGGCUGUAAACCUCUUUUCUCAAGGAAGAAGACAUGACGGUACUUGAGGAAUAAGCCACGGCUAAUUCCGUGCCAGCAGCCGCGGUAAU
RNAcentral lists this ribosomal RNA (173 nucleotides) under uncultured Prochlorococcus sp. RNAcentral's name for it is "partial 16S ribosomal RNA". It matches the Rfam family "Bacterial small subunit ribosomal RNA", at positions 336 to 524 of the family's 1533-position model. Lineage: Bacteria; Bacillati; Cyanobacteriota; Cyanophyceae; Synechococcales; Prochlorococcaceae. The record is from RNAcentral.